This 736-nucleotide ribosomal RNA is filed under the name uncultured organism. Its description in RNAcentral is "SSU rRNA". It matches the Rfam family "Bacterial small subunit ribosomal RNA", at positions 41 to 765 of the family's 1533-position model. The record is from RNAcentral.
GACAGGCUUAACACAUGCAAGUCGAGGGGCAGCAUGAUUUGUAGCAAUACAGAUUGAUGGCGACCGGCGCACGGGUGAGUAACGCGUAUGCAACUUACCUAUCAGAGGGGGAUAGCCCGGCGAAAGUCGGAUUAAUACCCCAUAAAACAGGGGUCCCGCAUGGGAAUAUUUGUUAAAGAUUCAUCGCUGAUAGAUAGGCAUGCGUUCCAUUAGGCAGUUGGCGGGGUAACGGCCCACCAAACCGACGAUGGAUAGGGGUUCUGAGAGGAAGGUCCCCCACAUUGGUACUGAGACACGGACCAAACUCCUACGGGAGGCAGCAGUGAGGAAUAUUGGUCAAUGGCCGAGAGGCUGAACCAGCCAAGUCGCGUGAAGGAAGAAGGAUCUAUGGUUUGUAAACUUCUUUUAUAGGGGAAUAAAGUGGAGGACGUGUCCUUUUUUGUAUGUACCCUAUGAAUAAGCAUCGGCUAACUCCGUGCCAGCAGCCGCGGUAAUACGGAGGAUGCGAGCGUUAUCCGGAUUUAUUGGGUUUAAAGGGUGCGUAGGUGGUGAUUUAAGUCAGCGGUGAAAGUUUGUGGCUCAACCAUAAAAUUGCCGUUGAAACUGGGUUACUUGAGUGUGUUUGAGGUAGGCGGAAUGCGUGGUGUAGCGGUGAAAUGCAUAGAUAUCACGCAGAACUCCGAUUGCGAAGGCAGCUUACUAAACCAUAACUGACACUGAAGCACGAAAGCGUGGG